This 296-nucleotide long non-coding RNA is filed under the name Nicotiana benthamiana. Its description in RNAcentral is "long non-coding RNA (NBEN_LNC022885)". The record is from RNAcentral. Lineage: Eukaryota; Viridiplantae; Streptophyta; Magnoliopsida; Solanales; Solanaceae.
GAGUAAAAGCAAGAAGAGCCGCGACAGCAACUGCCAUCACAAGAACUGCUUUAUACAACUUGUUCAGAAAGCUAUUAAAAACAGAAUCUUUUUCAACCCCGUCUUCUUUAUUCAGAAACAAAGUCACACAUUGGGGAACAUAUUCUGAGUAAAACAACUCAGCUUUUUCUGAAGAAUCAUUGAGCUGAUUAUGAAUUAGAGGUUGUGAGGAGAAAAUUGAUUUAGCGGCAUCAGAAGAGAGUGCUUUUGUGUAUUCACCCGAUUCGAUUAGUUCGAGAAUUUGCUCAAUGAGGGUG